Molecule: ribosomal RNA, 246 nt
Filed under: uncultured bacterium
Lineage: Bacteria
Description: partial 16S ribosomal RNA
Rfam family: Bacterial small subunit ribosomal RNA
Source: RNAcentral
UCGCGAGGUGAAGCAAAUCCCAAAAAAGUAGUCUCAGUUCAGAUUGUAGGCUGCAACUCGCCUACAUGAAGUCGGAAUUGCUAGUAAUCGCGGAUCAGCAUGCCGCGGUGAAUACGUUCCCGGGCCUUGUACACACCGCCCGUCACACCAUGAGAGCCGGUAACACCCGAAGUCAGUAGCCUAACCGCAAGGGGGGCGCUGCCGAAGGUGGGAUUGGUAAUUGGGGUGAAGUCGUAACAAGGUAUC